ACAUGCCUAUAACAUAGUGUUAAUGCACUGGAUCCCACUAGAACUCUGCAGUUAAGCAUGCUCAGGAUAUAAUAUUGUUGGGAUGGGUGACUACAUGGGAAGUCCUAGUUUUUUACAUGCC
Molecule: non-coding RNA, 121 nt
Organism: Picea glauca (white spruce)
Lineage: Eukaryota; Viridiplantae; Streptophyta; Pinopsida; Pinales; Pinaceae
Source: Rfam